UCCACAUGGCGCAAUAAUGUCAACAAUGCCACGUUUUCUGAUAAUCUUGGAAAGAACAAGUUAGCAAAUGGUUAGAGGAGUAUAUUAGCUAAAAUAUAUUUAUUUGCAGUAUCUUAACAUGUAUUUUCAUUGUCGAGUGGACUGUAUUUAUUGGACUUGUCUGUUAAGGCGCACUGUGCUCGGCAAAAUAGCCGAGGUUGAAUGUUUAUCUGUCAACCGUGUAACUAGUUCUGCUGUAUAUGCAUAGGUGGCGCCACCAUUCAAUUUUAUUUUGUUUGCUUUUCAAAAUGUGUUUUAUACAAUGGCCCUUCAACAAUGUUCAAACUACCAAAAUAGGCCUGAUACCUUCAACAGCAGACAUCGGAUACACUGUCCCUUUAAUAAUUAUCAACAUUGGCAACACUGUCAGUGUCACUGCCCCUUAAAAUUUCACAAAUCGCGAGACAUCGGAUACACUGUCCCUUUAAUAAUUAUCAACAUUGGCAACCCUGUCAGUGUCACUGCCCCUUAAAAUUUCACAAAUCAAUGCAUGCACUGCAAUGUAGGAUCAGAUCAGCUGAUGCCUCUUUUGUACGCAUAAUAUCAUCAAUUUUACAAUGAAUCUGUGCAAUUCAUUCCUAAACACUACGACACAAACCUUGAGUUGAGCAUACUUGGGGUCAGACAAUUAUUGUCACAUUCACAGUUGAAGUGGCACUCGGCAUGCGACUCGGUAUCGUCCAUUGUAUUUGCAUUAUCAUGCAUAAAUAAACAGUGUGACGUCAAAGAUCGCGCCAAUUGUGAUUGGCUGUCAGAUGUACACUGUGGCAGAAGUAUCCUGCAGAAAAAAAUUUCGCCAACGGGCACUGUCCAGUGGCGGUCUCUGCAGGUUUGCCCUAUAUCGAGGACUUCCCGGGAGUGACACAGUUUAUAUACGCUUUUUUCCUGUGUCAUCAGCCGAGUGCCUGGACCGAACUAAACAAUAGAGAUGGCCUAGAAUCUGGAGUAGGUCACAUUCCAUCAAUUUCGCGCACAUUUCAAUGGUGAUGACAUGGAUGAGAGUUAGCAGUCGUGUAUUUCAUGAGUUCUUCGUAUAAGGAUUUUACUGGAAUUACAGUGGAUAUUAUCAUCAAAACAGCACAGAAUCAGGAAACAGACAGCAAGAUGAGUCAGAUGUGGACGCUUAUGCUUCGUAUCUCCCAACACAUUCAUCGUUGCACUUGAAUAUUGUGCGAAAAAAGAACUUCGAUGUGGAGGAUUGUGUAAUAGACAGAAUGGAUGCCAUAAGAUGCUAUUGCCUUCAAGAAUGUCUCGAGGUUAUAGUUCACCUUAUAUACAAGGUUGGAUAAUUUUUGUCAGAGUUGUGAAGGAAUGACGAUAUUCAGGCCCACACGAAAAGGUUACGAGGGCUCCUUAACCUGUGGUCGGCAGCUGCAUUCGUCUUUCCACUAGUGACCUGGACAGCAAGGUUUCGAAGAUUCGAGUACGUGAGAAUACCCUCCUGGAUAACGCUAAAAUUAAGGGAACUAGGAACAGUUUGCGCUCCAUACAGCCCAAAACGACGUGGACAUACCAUUUACGAAUUGACUAAAUUAAUAUCAUAGGAGGUUUUUUUUAACACCGAAAUAGAAUAAUGAUAAUCUGAGUGUGUCACUUUGUAAUCAACACGUUUACAAAUCAUUGUGAUGGAAAGCCAUCCAAAUUCAGUUCAUAAUGUCGAUUACAAAACCGAAAGGGGCCUGAUGAAAAGCUAUGCAGGUUCGCCAAGUAUCAUAAAACAAAUUUGUUGGAGUGGAAAUCCUCCAAUGUAAUAUUUGAUGUAAAGAAUCUGAAUAGGUUUUGCCUGAUUUAGCUGUAUUGAAAUGGAAAGCCAUUCAAUGCAAUAAAAUCCAUCGAAAUUCAGCGUGUAUGAUGACUUUUUGGAAGCAUUUUUUCUGAGGGAAAAUCAGUCAAGUUAAAUGUUUGUUUUAAACACUAGCGCUAAUGUCACUCUGUGUUAACUUUGAUUGUGUUACUAGGCAUGUUAAAACCGAUGUACAUGGACAAGAUUUAAGACAAUUCUUGCAUUUUAAAUGCAGCAGAACCUCUCUAUUAACGGGUUCCCUGGGACUGACACUUGCUGUCUCUAUAGAGAGGUGUCCCAUUACAGUUGUUCAGGCUACAGUCUAAUCCUAACCUGACGAAUCCAUCAAGUUAUUCAGGGUGCACCCGACAACACUCAAGGCUUUUUUUACUUCCCUUGUACAUGUUGUAUCAGGUCCCAAAACUGAUGUUAGAAUGUUAUCUACUGGUAUAUAACAUCCAUCGUUUAGUGCUUUAGUAAAGAUAGUCUGCCAUCCCAUCAAAUAUAGAUAUUUGCAAGGAAUUUUUGCCUGACCCGAGGAAUGUGAUAUUCCCAAAGCCGACAUCUUAAAUGUUUAUCAUUUUUGUAGGACUCUAGGAAAUACAGAUUUUACGUGUAGUCGUGUAUAUUGAGGCAGUGCAAUUAAUUCAGAUAUUUAUCACUCUGUAUGGUUUAUUUCUCGAGCAAAAUCGUUUUUUCGUGAACUCAUGAUUUAUCGUCUUUUGUACGAUGAGGUGCGGGGAUUCGCAUUGGUCGUGUGUUAAUGGGUUAUAUAGACAGAGCCAAUGUAAAAUUGACCACAAAGGCAUUAGUUUUUUGUAUUGCACGGAGAGGGAAUCCAUGUGUCGUAAAUUAGUCGUCUUUUGCGAGCAGGUUUAUUAUCUAGAGUAUGAUGGGAUAAGAUCACUGUAAGGGCAUACUUUUAGCAUUGCUUUGAUGACAAAGAAAAGCAGUAAAUCUGUAACUAGAGAUACUUCCCAACUUAAAGGUGCAGGGCGCAUUUGACAUGUUUGAUAGAAACUAAGAGGCAUUGAGAUUUAUAACAUAGGAUCAUCUGCCAUUUAAUGCACCCUUAAAAUAACCGGGACUUUUUUUUAUUAGAUCUCGAUCAGGGGCAUUUAUAAUCCAAAUCUUUAUAGGCCUACUGAAGAGAACUGUUUACAAACCGACCAAACAUGCCAAAAAGCUUGCCAAUAUCCUGGUGACCGGGCUCUGCACCAGUGAUCGGCCAGGUCAGGUCUCGAGCACUCUGGCUUUCAAGACGAGACAUUUGCCGAAUUCGUCUGGAACUUUGGGGUAGAAUACCAUGCAGUUGCCUGAAUUCAAUAUUACGAAGGCACUGAAGGAUCAUUUGAAAUUCAAAAUGUAUGGUUUAAACAUUGGUCUAGUACAUUUUUUGAUGUAGUGUUUGAGAUUUUCCAAUUGCUAACUUUCAUAUAGAC
Long non-coding RNA from Lineus longissimus, 3264 nucleotides. RefSeq lists it as uncharacterized. Lineage: Eukaryota; Metazoa; Nemertea; Pilidiophora; Heteronemertea; Lineidae. The transcript has 3 exons. The record is from RefSeq and is a predicted model, not a curated record.